GACGAACGCUGGCGGCGUGCUUAACACAUGCAAGUCGAACGGUGAAGCUCCAGCUUGCUGGAGUGGAUCGGUGGCGAACGGGUGAGUAACACGUGAGCAACCUGCCCCUGACUCUGGAAUAAGCGCUGGAAACGGCGUCUAAUACUGGAUACGAGAAGGGUCCGCAUGGGCACUUUCUGGAAAGUUUUUCGGUUGGGGAUGGGCUCGCGGCCUAUCAGCUUGUUGGUGAGGUAAUGGCUCACCAAGGCGACGACGGGUAGCCGGCCUGAGAGGGCGACCGGCCACACUGGGACUGAGACACGGCCCAGACUCCUACGGGAGGCAGCAGUGGGGAAUAUUGCACAAUGGGCGAAAGCCUGAUGCAGCGACGCCGCGUGAGGGAUGACGGCCUUCGGGUUGUAAACCUCUUUCAGCAGGGAAGAAGCGAAAGUGACGGUACCUGCAGAAGAAGCACCGGCUAACUACGUG
Molecule: ribosomal RNA, 468 nt
Filed under: uncultured bacterium
Lineage: Bacteria
Description: partial 16S ribosomal RNA
Rfam family: Bacterial small subunit ribosomal RNA
Source: RNAcentral